This 226-nucleotide long non-coding RNA is filed under the name Mytilus galloprovincialis (Mediterranean mussel). The record is from RNAcentral. Lineage: Eukaryota; Metazoa; Mollusca; Bivalvia; Mytilida; Mytilidae.
UGAAAAUCCCCCCUUUUUUAUGAAUAAAGCCCCAUAAAUCCAAAACUUAAAAUCUGAAAUUAAAAAAAAACGAAAGGGAGCUUACGUCAAUAGAUAUAAACAAUUCACUUAAGUUUCAUGGAAAUUGGUGAAAGUGUUUUGGAGUUAUUGUCCGAAGUGUGGACGACGGACGGACGGACGGACGGACAACGGUAUACCAUAAUACGUCCCGUCUAAAAGACGGGCG